CAGUCGCCACGGUAAUACGUAGGGUGCAAGCGUUAAUCGGAAUUACUGGGCGUAAAGCGUGCGCAGGCGGUUCGCUAAGACAGAUGUGAAAUCCCCGGGCUUAACCUGGGAACUGCAUUUGUGACUGGCGGGCUAGAGUAUGGCAGAGGGGGGUAGAAUUCCACGUGUAGCAGUGAAAUGCGUAGAGAUGUGGAGGAAUACCGAUGGCGAAGGCAGCCCCCUGGGACAACACUGACGCUGAGGCACGAAAGCGUGGGGAGCAAACAGGAUUAGAUACCCCUGUAGUCCCUGUCUCUUAUAC
This 301-nucleotide ribosomal RNA is filed under the name uncultured bacterium. Its description in RNAcentral is "partial 16S ribosomal RNA". It matches the Rfam family "Bacterial small subunit ribosomal RNA", at positions 509 to 807 of the family's 1533-position model. The record is from RNAcentral.